CUGAGAUGUGACAAAUAAAAAUGGCAAGCAAUAGGAUAUAUUGGAGAAUAUGAGGAAGCCAUUUGCUAUGAACUGUCGACGAAAAUAAUCCAUAACCAAUUUAUAAAUGAAAAUUUGGGUGAGUUUAUUCUGAGCUUAAAUCUUAGGAUUAUAACCCAGGAGUCUUUUCAGAAAGGAACAGAGCACUCCAAAGAAGUGGGGGUACACAGGCUGGUUAUAUACCCUCAAAGAGUGUGUUUCACAUAUGAUUGAAAUGUCACUCCCACAAUAGUCACAAGAUUGCCCUGUCAGCACAGCACUUGAUGGACACAGCAGGUAGUGGGUCUGCUAUCUUGGUGGGUGUAGCAGGAGGCAAGUCUAUUGUCUCAAGCUGGGUGGUCACAGGUGAGCACAGCAAUCAGUUUCUAGCCUAAGGAAAGAUGCUUAAUCCUUAAGGAGAUGCCAACGUUGGGAGGGGGAGGGAAGUUGCACCUUUAUCUCAAGGGCCUUUUGCUCUUGCCAUAGGGAAUCUCUAAAGCAGAUAUACAAUGCAUGCUCAACGGCCUCCGUCAGGCCCUUUUGGAAAGACAAGGUCAAGCCAAAUUAGGUUUAUACCAAAUGGCUUCCUCAUAUACUACAAUAUAUCCUAUUACUUGCCAUUUUUAUUUGUCAUUUUCCCCUUUUGAUCUCUAAUCUUUCGAUAGAAAGCAUUGAUGAUCAAAAUAUUGUCCCUCAGCGCCAGGGUGGUUGCUGCCUGCCCUGGGUCCAUCAUGUCCCUCGGUGAUAGGCUUUUAGCUCAUUUAUUUGCCUAGUCGACCACUUUGGGGGGGAAAUAGUGGACAAGCAUAGAGUUAUAUAUAUAUUAACAGAGGAAGCAUUUCAUAUGUCAUGUAAUUUCCAAUUAAUUUUAGAUAGUUGUGCAAACAUUGUAUAUGUGCUUUUUAUGACACUUCACAUUUACAUUGUUUAUGAUUAUAGAACAAGUACAGUAAUGAUAAUAACUCAGAACUUUUAAAAGGAUUAGUCGGAAAUGAAUUCUUAGUCAUAGUCACUAUCAGAAAAGGAAAUUUGUCCAGGGUUAUAAGACAGAUCAACCAUCACAAGCCAUCGAGCAAUCAUUACUCUAGUUUGUAUGCUACUCUUACAACACUGAGUAAAGAAAACAACAAUUAGUUUGAAUAUUAUGACUAGUACAAGAAUUCCAAGAAGUAGUUGUAGGGGAAGAAGACAUUUCCUCUUCCCAAAUGUGGGUUCGUCUGGCCAGAGAACAAAUUAAAUUCACAUGAGACAGACUAGCAAGAGAAAAUUAAACAAAGCUUUAUGAGGAACCAUGGCCCAGGGCCUCUCUUCCUGAAGGAAGAAAGGGCGCCAAAGAAGUGGAGUGCACAGAGUGAUUAUAUACCCCCAAAUGGGGUGUUUCACAUGUGAUUGAAAUGUCCCUCGCACAAUAGACACAAGAUUGCACUGUUGGCACAGUGCUUGAUGGACAUAGCAGGUAAUGGUCAGCUAUCUCGGUGGACAUAGCAGGAGGUAAGUCUAUUUUCUGGAGCUGGGUGGUCACAGGUGAGCGCAGGAAUCAGUUCCUAGCCUAAGGAAAGAUGCUUAAUCCUUAAAGAAAUGCCAACGUUGGGAGGGGUAGGGAAGUCAGUUACAGCAGGUUACCAGACAAGCACAAUAAAAUACAGAUUUAAGUCCUUGCCUUUGGUAUUGAUUAAGAGUUUCUAGAGAGAAGGUCGUCUCCUUUCUUCUUCCUGGUGCAGAGAGGGAGGCAUAUUUUACAGAUAGAGAUUUACCUUGCAAAUGUAAACGUGUCCUAACAAAGCGCAAAUUCCAUUCCUCAGAGCCUCCUUCCUGUCCCAGUUUAUCAAAAGCAGUCAGCAUCAAAUAAUCCUGAUGCCAAAGAGACAUAUCUUGGGGCGGCCAAUUCCAGGUCCCCACAGUCCCUCCUUUGAAACUUUAAGAAGUUUCACAGUCCAGAAUCUGAGUGGUAGAUUGUUUCAUCUCACUUAACACAUUUCUUAGUCCUGGUAAUAGAUCAGUCCAGUUAAAGUCAUUUUAGAAGGCGGCGAUGCAGGUGGUCUCCCAAAGUUAGGCCUAUAUUUUGGAAGCAAGCAAUCAGGUAUUUAAUAAGUAUUUCUAUGGAAAUACAAAGAAAAACAAGGUUAGUGAUUGGAGCAAAUUAUAAACUAGUUCCUCAGUCCAGGAGGCAACCAGUCAAGAAGACUUCUAGAUGUCAGAGUCAAAGCAUCUUUUGCAGCUUGAAACAUCUCUGAUGAUGUCAUCAGACAUUCAGAUAUCUUUCCGAGUGUCUUACAGCUUAGAAAGCAACAGACAGGAAUCUCUCAAGUUUCUAUCAAGUCUUUCAGCUUCAGUUUGCAAGGCUUCAGGAAAAAGAGCAGGUUCAAUUCUCAAUGAUUCCAAAUGAAAAUGAGGUAUUAUUGAAAACAUUAGUUUGGAGAUUUGUAACCAGACAUUUCAGUAGAAGAAUUCAGGAUCCAGUCCAGUUCACAGGUAGAGAAAAAAACCUCAAAGACAAUUAACAGAACUAGGAUCUAAGAUCCACAAAUGUGUAUUUUAGUUUUUCACUGAAACAUAGUUCUUCUCUCUAAAAUCAUCCUCAUUUUUACCAAAGAUCGCAAAAUUAAGACUAAUUGGUUAGAAAAAUAAGUUUAGUAUCAAGAAACUUGGCCCAAUUAUUUACAUAAGUGCAGCAAGAACAGCAAUUGAUCAUAUAGGCUCUUAAAUUGCUUUCCUGGAAUUCUUUUAUGACUAAUCUCAGAUUGAACUUUAAAGACCUCUCAAGGCCAGGAAAGCAAAGCCAAGGACUUGCAGUCAGAUUUUGCCUGCAGUACCUACAUAUUUGCGUGGAUUUCUGUCUUCUUGAGGUCCCCCAAAAUAUUCUGAGGUUCCUUACAUCUGCCAGAUAAGCAAGCUUCCUUACUUACCAGGUAAGAUUGCCAGAAUCUCUGUAAACCAGGUACCAGGCCCAUAUUUCCAAGUGGCUUAUUUCAGAAAGUGAACCUUAUUCCUCAAAGGCUGUAUUGUCAUAUCCGAGUCUGUAUGUUCCUCUCAAAUAUGACAUUCCAGUCAAAGCCUUGGUAAUACAACCAAUGAUUAACCAUCUUUCCUUAGGCUAGGAAAUGAUUGCUGCGCUCACCUGUGA
RNAcentral lists this long non-coding RNA (3142 nucleotides) under Equus caballus (horse). Its description in RNAcentral is "lncRNA (ENSECAG00000054692.1)". The record is from RNAcentral. Lineage: Eukaryota; Metazoa; Chordata; Mammalia; Perissodactyla; Equidae.